UACAGAGGGUGCGAGCGUUAAUCGGAAUUACUGGGCGUAAAGCGCACGUAGGCGGCUUUUUAAGUCAGGGGUGAAAUCCUGGAGCUCAACUCCAGAACUGCCUUUGAUACUGAGAAGCUUGAGUCCGGGAGAGGUGAGUGGAACUGCGAGUGUAGAGGUGAAAUUCGUAGAUAUUCGCAAGAACACCAGUGGCGAAGGCGGCUCACUGGACCGGUAUUGACGCUGAGGCGCGAAAGCCAGGGGAGCAAACGGG
RNAcentral lists this ribosomal RNA (253 nucleotides) under uncultured bacterium. RNAcentral describes it as "partial 16S ribosomal RNA". It matches the Rfam family "Bacterial small subunit ribosomal RNA", at positions 524 to 776 of the family's 1533-position model. The record is from RNAcentral.